Molecule: long non-coding RNA, 343 nt
Filed under: Marmota monax (woodchuck)
Lineage: Eukaryota; Metazoa; Chordata; Mammalia; Rodentia; Sciuridae
Source: RNAcentral
UGGUGAUGCUCAUUGGACUGUUUCCCUGCCCUUUCAGACCACGGAGCUGCUCAUUGGGGGACUUUUUUGGCUCCGCCCACGUGACCCAGCCAAUCGGCCUCAAGAGCAGGAGGAUUGUGGGAGGUGGAGAGAAGCUUGUGUGAGAGAGAGAGGCUUGUGGAAAGCCGGUGGUGGCAGUUGGGCUCUGAGGGUUUUUCCUGAGAGGCUGUUUUGUUUGGCGUGUGUGGUUCUAAAAAUAAAGUUAGUUUCUUUUGACAAGUGGCUCCUGAUUGUGCCCAGCCAGACUGCAGCAGAAAUGGAAACAGCCACAGACAGAACAGGCCAGACUCGUGGGAGUUCCACG